UCUGAUGUUAGCGGCGGACGGGUGAGUAACACGUGGAUAACCUACCUAUAAGACUGGGAUAACUUCGGGAAACCGGAGCUAAUACCGGAUAAUAUUUUGAACCGCAUGGUUCAAAAGUGAAAGACGGUCUUGCUGUCACUUAUAGAUGGAUCCGCGCUGCAUUAGCUAGUUGGUAAGGUAACGGCUUACCAAGGCAACGAUGCAUAGCCGACCUGAGAGGGUGAUCGGCCACACUGGAACUGAGACACGGUCCAGACUCCUACGGGAGGCAGCAGUAGGGAAUCUUCCGCAAUGGGCGAAAGCCUGACGGAGCAACGCCGCGUGAGUGAUGAAGGUCUUCGGAUCGUAAAACUCUGUUAUUAGGGAAGAACAUAUGUGUAAGUAACUGUGCACAUCUUGACGGUACCUAAUCAGAAAGCCACGGCUAACUACGUGCCAGCAGCCGCGGUAAUACGUAGGUGGCAAGCGUUAUCCGGAAUUAUUGGGCGUAAAGCGCGCGUAGGCGGUUUUUUAAGUCUGAUGUGAAAGCCCACGGCUCAACCGUGGAGGGUCAUUGGAAACUGGAAAACUUGAGUGCAGAAGAGGAAAGUGGAAUUCCAUGUGUAGCGGUGAAAUGCGCAGAGAUAUGGAGGAACACCAGUGGCGAAGGCGACUUUCUGGUCUGUAACUGACGCUGAUGUGCGAAAGCGUGGGGAUCAAACAGGAUUAGAUACCCUGGUAGUCCACGCCGUAAACGAUGAGUGCUAAGUGUUAGGGGGUUUCCGCCCCUUAGUGCUGCAGCUAACGCAUUAAGCACUCCGCCUGGGGAGUACGACCGCAAGGUUGAAACUCAAAGGAAUUGACGGGGACCCGCACAAGCGGUGGAGCAUGUGGUUUAAUUCGAAGCAACGCGAAGAACCUUACCAAAUCUUGACAUCCUUUGACAACUCUAGAGAUAGAGCUUUCCCCUUCGGGGGACAAAGUGACAGGUGGUGCAUGGUUGUCGUCAGCUCGUGUCGUGAGAUGUUGGGUUAAGUCCCGCAACGAGCGCAACCCUUAAGCUUAGUUGCCAUCAUUAAGUUGGGCACUCUAAGUUGACUGCCGGUGACAAACCGGAGGAAGGUGGGGAUGACGUCAAAUCAUCAUGCCCCUUAUGAUUUGGGCUACACACGUGCUACAAUGGACAAUACAAAGGGCAGCGAAACCGCGAGGUCAAGCAAAUCCCAUAAAGUUGUUCUCAGUUCGGAUUGUAGUCUGCAACUCGACUACAUGAAGCUGGAAUCGCUAGUAAUCGUAGAUCAGCAUGCUACGGUGAAUACGUUCCCGGGUCUUGUACACACCGCCCGUCACACCACGAGAGUUUGUAACACCCGAAGCCGGUGGAGUAACCUUUUAGGAGCUAGCCGUCGAAGGUGGGACAAAUGAUUGGGGUGAAGUCGUAACAAGGUAGCCGUAUCGGAAGGUGCGGCUGGAUCACCUCCUUUCUA
RNAcentral lists this ribosomal RNA (1466 nucleotides) under Staphylococcus aureus. RNAcentral describes it as "bacterial SSU rRNA". It matches the Rfam family "Bacterial small subunit ribosomal RNA". Lineage: Bacteria; Bacillati; Bacillota; Bacilli; Caryophanales; Staphylococcaceae. The record is from RNAcentral.